RNAcentral lists this ribosomal RNA (497 nucleotides) under uncultured bacterium. RNAcentral describes it as "partial 16S ribosomal RNA". It matches the Rfam family "Bacterial small subunit ribosomal RNA", at positions 28 to 507 of the family's 1533-position model. The record is from RNAcentral.
GAUGAACGCUGGCGGCGUGCCUAAUACAUGCAAGUCGAGCGAACGGACGAGAAGCUUGCUUCUCUGAUGUUAGCGGCGGACGGGUGAGUAACACGUGGAUAACCUACCUAUAAGACUGGGAUAACUUCGGGAAACCGUAGCUAAUACCGGAUAAUAUUUUGAACCGCAUGGUUCAAAAGUGAAAGACGGUCUUGCUGUCACUUAUAGAUGGAUCCGCGCUGCAUUAGCUAGUUGGUAAGGUAACGGCUUACCAAGGCAACGAUGCAUAGCCGACCUGAGAGGGGGAUCGGCCACACUGGAACUUAGACACGGUCCAGACUCCUACGGGAGGCAGCAGUAGGGAAUCUUCCGCAAUGGGCGAAAGCCUGACGGAGCAACGCCGCGUGAGUGAUGAAGGUCUUCGGAUCGUAAAACUCUGUUAUUAGGGAAGAACAUAUGUGUACGUAACUGUGCACAUCUUGACGGUACCUAAUCAGAAAGCCACGGCUAACUACGUG